GUGGAUGUAGCUGCAGUGAAAACCUGACAUAGAUUCAAUUAGACCUGUUACCAGAGCUAUUUGACCCAACAAGCUGCUCUCUGUGCGUUUGCCCUGACAUCGAUACACCGCCGCUCCACCACGCCGGCGCUCGUGCAGUGAGGGGAGGAAUAAAUACAGCGGUGGAUUUAUCUACAUCUACAAACAUGCAGAAAAAGCUCGACAGGCUAGAUGAUGGACCCAUUUCUCACCGGUUCCCUCGGAAAUCUGGCGUCACGUUUCCUCUGUUUGGGUCCAGAUAGGCUGAGAGCGUCACAGCCAGUAAACACAUGUUGCUGUUUUUUUCCUACAUAGUUGAAGCUUUUUAAAUACUGUGAACAAAGACAGAAACAUGUCAUGACUGAUGGAAUUUUAUUUGGAAAAAUAAAUGUUAUUGCUUGGACUGCUUUAAUAUUUUUAGAGAACUCUGUUCAUUCGACCCUUGUUGUUCAGGCGACCCAGCGUUUGUGUUUUUGGUUUAAUGUUCUUUAUUUCUCCCUGUCAACUCCCUGUUUCCUGUUUUACUUUGAUAGUCUCACGUCCUUCGUUAAUGUUUCCAGUGUUGCUUCCUCCACAUCUCGUUAUUUGUGAUCGCUCUCAGCUGUGUCCGAUUCCCACGUUAUCCCUCUGUGUAUUUAAGUGCUGCGUUUUCCUCUGUCCAUUGUCGCGUCCUUCCCUGUUUGCUGUGUGUUUUCUAAUCUCCCAGUGUUUAGUUCUUCGUUUCCAGUUUCCAUGUUCAAGUUUUAUUUAGAUUUUUGUGAGUUUAUUUUACGGAUUAUUUUUCCCAGUGAAUAAAGCUGCCGCUUUGAGUUUA
Neolamprologus brichardi is the source of this 832-nucleotide non-coding RNA. NCBI's taxonomy places the organism in Eukaryota, Metazoa, Chordata, Actinopteri, Cichliformes, Cichlidae. The record is from RefSeq and is a predicted model, not a curated record.